Molecule: non-coding RNA, 934 nt
Organism: Pelobates cultripes (western spadefoot toad)
Lineage: Eukaryota; Metazoa; Chordata; Amphibia; Anura; Pelobatidae
Source: the annotation of a GenBank genome assembly
GGGAGUCAGAGAAGACAACAGCGAAGGAGCUGAGCUCAAUAGAGAGAAGCAAAGCACCCCAGUUGAGCUAAAAAAUUUUGUGCACUGUUUAGUAGCAGAGGCUACCCAAGAAUGUCGACCGGCCGUUGAACAGUUUGGCAGAGAAAAGCAAGGCAGAGAAGUAGUGGCAAAACUAAGUCAAAAUAAGAAAGGCAAAGUAGCUGCUUCUGAUCUAAGCCAAGAGAGAGCGACGGUCACAGAACCAAGCUGUGGUGAUAAGAUAGGCAUGUCCGCACCUAAGCCCGACCAAGGCGAAAGUUACAAAGUAGGUGACAUUGGCGUAGCAAAAUUAAAUAUUUCAAAGACAUCUGGGAUUGCUACAAAGACUUUGAAGGAUUGUUCGGGAGCCAUAGAACUGGAUCUGCUGGCAAAGACUACUGCUACAAGGCCUGCAUGCCUUAACUACCUGGAACGGCUGCCAGAUUCUGGGAACACAGUUGUGGAAUUAAAGGCAGGACUCGGACUGCCUGACCGGCUGUUUGAUACCGGGGCUGUCAUGACCCAGCCAGAGGCCAUGACUGCGUCUCUGGACACCCCCAAGGGAACAGGGAGACCGCCAGACAGCCCAGAGGAAAGCAUUGCUGGCACUGAGAGGUGGCUACUCAAGGCCAAGCAAGCAGAGGAUACCCCUGGGGAGGAAACCAGGCAAAGGAAAGAUGAACUAAGCCAGGAGUCUAGGCCUCAGGUAGAAAAACAGCGCUCCAUACCAGGCCAGGCCGAGCAUGAUGGGAUGGAGCUGGGAUCAAAGGCUGCAUUCAUGCAGGAGGAGGGUGCUCUAGACAGCCUCCCUGGCCAACCCCCUGAGUACAUAGAGAUGAGACCUGUAGCAUUACCCGUAGAAAGCAAGGAAGGUUCCCAGGGAUUCACAGAACAGAUGGAGGAUGUUGUGAAGCCC